GGGCCCGUAGUCUAGUGGACAAGGCGCGAGGCUUCGGACCUCGUUUUCGCGGGUUCGAAUCCCGCCGGGCUCA
RNAcentral lists this transfer RNA (73 nucleotides) under Thermoplasmata archaeon. RNAcentral describes it as "tRNA-Arg". It matches the Rfam family "tRNA". From Rfam's summary of the family: Transfer RNA (tRNA) molecules are approximately 80 nucleotides in length. Their secondary structure includes four short double-helical elements and three loops (D, anti-codon, and T loops). Further hydrogen bonds mediate the characteristic L-shaped molecular structure. tRNAs have two regions of fundamental functional importance: the anti-codon, which is responsible for specific mRNA codon recognition, and the 3' end, to which the tRNAs corresponding amino acid is attached (by aminoacyl-tRNA synthetases). tRNAs cope with the degeneracy of the genetic code in two manners: having more than one tRNA (with a specific anti-codon) for a particular amino acid; and 'wobble' base-pairing, i.e. permitting non-standard base-pairing at the 3rd anti-codon position. RNAcentral also lists the same sequence under 3 other names. Lineage: Archaea; Methanobacteriati; Thermoplasmatota; Thermoplasmata. The record is from RNAcentral.